GUCAACACUGGUGACUGCGGAUUAUAGUCCAAAGCAACCCCCUAAAGAAAAUUUAUCUCCAGGAUUUAGUCAUCUACUUAGCAAAAAUGAAAGCAAUCUAAUUAGUGCUGUUAUCCUCAUUGAAAAGUCAGGAAAAUGAGAAAAAAAGAAAUUUAGAAAAUGCCAUUGGCAACCAUGAUACUCAUAACUCUUGCUCUGAAUCCUUGCCAAAUGGAGUGAAGAAAGUGUGAGAUCAACCUGGGAGAAGAACCAGUCAUUUAUCUAUGAACAGUGUGAGCCAAUUUCAGUAAC
Sciurus carolinensis (gray squirrel) is the source of this 291-nucleotide long non-coding RNA. RefSeq lists it as uncharacterized. The record is from RefSeq and is a predicted model, not a curated record. Lineage: Eukaryota; Metazoa; Chordata; Mammalia; Rodentia; Sciuridae. The transcript is spliced from 3 exons.